CCUCUCAGUUGAUCUUCCCUUUCUGCAAUAUUGUAAGUAUCUCUAGUUUUUAUUCUAUUAUUAUUAUUACUAACUUACUUUCAUAAUAUUAUCAUCCAUAAAAUUUUUCUAAUGCUAAUUAUUCGCCAUAUACAAUGUAUAGUAUAAGGCUUGGUGGUUGGUACUUGUUAGGUCAUCGACUAUAAAGCAUGGAACCGGCUGUCCCUAAAGCAAGUGGCAAAAGGCUUGGUGGUUGGUACUUGAGAUUCCAAGUUCGAAUCCUAGUUGAUUCACAUUUUCUAGCUAAGUUUAUUUCUAAAUAAAAUAAACGAAGCGGAUAGCGUGCUACCUAUCUCUUAAAAAAAAAAAAAACACUAUAAAGCAUGGAAAUAACUAUAUGUAAACUUCUCAAGAGAACAAAAAAGUGCAUCACUGUACAACACAAUUUUUUUUUUGGUCUUUUUCAAGAGAAAGAUAGCAUCUUAUCCGCUUCAUUCAUUCAAUAAAACAUUUAGCUAUCAAAAUUGAAGCAUCGGGACGGUGAAAACGUUAAGAGGUGGCAGAUAAAGGAAAAAAAAAACUUCAAAUACCACUUUUGUGAUUUCACACUUUUUUAUUUUAGUAUCCUGUGGUUUAAAGUGUAUCAACUUAGUACCCCAUGGUUUCAUUUUCUCUUUUAAUUAUGCCUUCUACUAAUUAUUUUUCGUUAAAUCAGUGACAAAGUUAAAACUAAAAGGUACCAAGGUGAAUAUUCGAUAAAUCUAUGUGAGGUAUUUGACGUUUUUUUUUUAUAUAAUUUAACGAAAUGUUAACGGAAGAGUUGACAAAAAAAGAAAAAUGAAACCACAGGCUACUAAAUUGAUACACCUAAAAUCACAGAAUACUAAAGUGAGAAAGUGCAAAAUCACAUAGAUAGUGUUUGAAGUUUACUCAAAAAAAGAA
Molecule: long non-coding RNA, 921 nt
Filed under: Ananas comosus (pineapple)
Lineage: Eukaryota; Viridiplantae; Streptophyta; Magnoliopsida; Poales; Bromeliaceae
Description: long non-coding RNA (ACOM_LNC021781)
Source: RNAcentral